GCGCACGCUGGCGGCCGGCUUAACCCCUGCCCGUCGAGCGGGCCCUUCGGGGUCAGCGGCAGACGGGUGAGUAACACGUGGGAACGUACCCUUUGGUUCGGAAUAACGCUGGGAAACUAGCGCUAAUACCGGAUACGCCCUUUUGGGGAAAGGCUUGCUGCCGAAGGAUCGGCCCGCGUCUGAUUAGCUAGUUGGUGGGGUAAUGGCCUACCAAGGCGACGAUCAGUAGCUGGCCUGAGAGGAUGAUCAGCCACACUGGGACUGAGACACGGCCCAGACUCCUACGGGAGGCAGCAGUGGGGAAUAUUGGACAAUGGGCGCAAGCCUGAUCCAGCCAUGCCGCGUGAGUGAUGAAGGCCUUAGGGUUGUAAAGCUCUUUUGUCCGGGACGAUAAUGACGGUACCGGAAGAAUAAGCCCCGGCUAACUUCGUG
RNAcentral lists this ribosomal RNA (432 nucleotides) under uncultured bacterium. Its description in RNAcentral is "partial 16S ribosomal RNA". It matches the Rfam family "Bacterial small subunit ribosomal RNA", at positions 29 to 507 of the family's 1533-position model. The record is from RNAcentral.